UAGGGAAUCUUCGGCAAUGGACGGAAGUCUGACCGAGCAACGCCGCGUGAGUGAAGAAGGUUUCCGGAUCGUAAAGCUCUGUUGUAAGAGAAGAACGAGUGUGAGAGUGGAAAGUUCACACUGUGACGGUAUCUUACCAGAAAGGGACGGCUAACUACGUGCCAGCAGCCGCGGUAAUACGUAGGUCCCGAGCGUUGUCCGGAUUUAUUGGGCGUAAAGCGAGCGCAGGCGGUUAGAUAAGUCUGAAGUUAAAGGCUGUGGCUUAACCAUAGUACGCUUUGGAAACUGUUUAACUUGAGUGCAAGAGGGGAGAGUGGAAUUCCAUGUGUAGCGGUGAAAUGCGUAGAUAUAUGGAGGAACACCGGUGGCGAAAGCGGCUCUCUGGCUUGUAACUGACGCUGAGGCUCGAAAGCGUGGGGAGCAAACAGGAUUAGAUACCCUGGUAGUCCACGCCGUAAACGAUGAGUGCUAGGUGUUAGACCCUUUCCGGGGUUUAGUGCCGUAGCUAACGCAUUAAGCACUCCGCCUGGGGAGUACGACCGCAAGGUUG
Molecule: ribosomal RNA, 550 nt
Filed under: uncultured bacterium
Lineage: Bacteria
Description: bacterial SSU rRNA
Rfam family: Bacterial small subunit ribosomal RNA
Source: RNAcentral